AUGCAGCGACGCCGCGUGAGGGAUGACGGCCUUCGGGUUGUAAACCUCUUUCAGUAGGGAAGAAGCGAAAGUGACGGUACCUGCAGAAGAAGCGCCGGCUAACUACGUGCCAGCAGCCGCGGUAAUACGUAGGGCGCAAGCGUUAUCCGGAAUUAUUGGGCGUAAAGAGCUCGUAGGCGGUUUGUCGCGUCUGCCGUGAAAGUCCGGGGCUCAACUCCGGAUCUGCGGUGGGUACGGGCAGACUAGAGUGAUGUAGGGGAGACUGGAAUUCCUGGUGUAGCGGUGAAAUGCGCAGAUAUCAGGAGGAACACCGAUGGCGAAGGCAGGUCUCUGGGCAUUAACUGACGCUGAGGAGCGAAAGCAUGGGGAGCGAACAGGAUUAGAUACCCUGGUAGUCCAUGCCGUAAACGUUGGGCACUAGGUGUGGGGGACAUUCCACGUUUUCCGCGCCGUAGCUAACGCAUUAAGUGCCCCGCCUGGGGAGUACGGCCGCAAGGCUAAAACUCAAAGGAAUUGACGGGGGCCCGCACAAGCGGCGGAGCAUGCGGAUUAAUUCGAUGCAACGCGAAGAACCUUACCAAGGCUUGACAUGGGCCGGACCGGGCUGGAAACAGUCCUUCCCCUUUGGGGCCGGUUCACAGGUGGUGCAUGGUUGUCGUCAGCUCGUGUCGUGAGAUGUUGGGUUAAGUCCCGCAACGAGCGCAACCCUCGUUCCAUGUUGCCAGCGCGUAAUGGCGGGGACUCAUGGGAGACUGCCGGGGUCAACUCGGAGGAAGGUGGGGACGACGUCAAAUCAUCAUGCCC
RNAcentral lists this ribosomal RNA (804 nucleotides) under Arthrobacter humicola. RNAcentral describes it as "bacterial SSU rRNA". It matches the Rfam family "Bacterial small subunit ribosomal RNA", at positions 386 to 1200 of the family's 1533-position model. The record is from RNAcentral. Lineage: Bacteria; Bacillati; Actinomycetota; Actinomycetes; Micrococcales; Micrococcaceae.